UCUCCUACGGGGGGCAGCAGUGAGGAAUAUUGGUCAAUGGGCGGGAGCCUGAACCAGCCAAGUCGCGUGAAGGAAGAAGGUACUUAGUAUUGUAAACUUCUUUUGUCAGGGAGCAACGCCGGCUACGUGUAGCCGGACUGAGAGUACCUGAAGAAAAAGCAUCGGCUAACUCCGUGCCAGCAGCCGCGGUAAUACGGAGGAUGCGAGCGUUAUCCGGAUUUAUUGGGUUUAAAGGGUGCGUAGGCGGAAUGCCAAGUCAGCGGUAAAAUCGCGGGGCUCAACCUCGCUCCGCCGUUGAAACUGGC
This 305-nucleotide ribosomal RNA is filed under the name uncultured bacterium. Its description in RNAcentral is "bacterial SSU rRNA". It matches the Rfam family "Bacterial small subunit ribosomal RNA", at positions 335 to 637 of the family's 1533-position model. The record is from RNAcentral.